Molecule: unclassified non-coding RNA, 311 nt
Filed under: Hevea brasiliensis (rubber tree)
Lineage: Eukaryota; Viridiplantae; Streptophyta; Magnoliopsida; Malpighiales; Euphorbiaceae
Source: RNAcentral
GGAAAAGUGGGUAAAAGGAUGGAUACAAUCUUGAUUCCACUGGAAUUGUUAUGUUGUAUUUCACGCUCAGAGUUUUCUGACAAAAAGUCAUAUUUUAAGUGGCAAAAGAGACAAUUAAACAUGUUGGAGGAGGGGCUCAUAAAUCAUCCUGCCGUAGGGUUUGGGGAAUCUGGGCGAAAAGCAAAUGAGCUAAGGGUUCUUUUAGCUAAGAUAGAGGAAUCUGAGUCUUUUCCUCCUCCUGCAGCAGAGAUGCAAAGGACAGAAUGUUUAAAAUCUUUGAGAGAGAUCGCUAUGCCAUUGGCAGAAAGGCC